RNAcentral lists this ribosomal RNA (253 nucleotides) under uncultured bacterium. Its description in RNAcentral is "partial 16S ribosomal RNA". It matches the Rfam family "Bacterial small subunit ribosomal RNA", at positions 524 to 776 of the family's 1533-position model. The record is from RNAcentral.
UACGUAGGGUGCGAGCGUUGUCCGGAAUUAUUGGGCGUAAAGAGCUUGUAGGUGGCUCGUUGCGUCGGGAGUGAAAACCUGCGGCUUAACCGCAGGCCUGCUUCCGAUACGGGCGAGCUAGAGUUCGGCAGGGGAGACUGGAAUUCCUGGUGUAGCGGUGGAAUGCGCAGAUAUCAGGAGGAACACCGGUGGCGAGGGCGGGUCUCUGGGCCGAUACUGACACUGAGAAGCGAAAGCGUGGGGAGCGAACAGG